AACACACCCAGUAAAGGGCAUGCGGUUCCCCAAGAGGAAAGUCUCAGCCGACCAGUACACGCGGUGAGGCGGACCAGCCAGCCAAGACCAAGGUUCAACUACGAGCUUUUUAACUGCAACAACUUUAAUAUACGCUAUUGGAGCUGGAGUUACCGCGGCUGCUGGCACCAGACUUGCCCUCCAAUUGUUCCUCGUCAAUGUAUUUACAUUGUGCUCAUUCCAAUUACAAGACCCAAAAGAGUCCUGUAUCGGUAUUUCUUGUCACUACCUCCCCAUGUCGGGAUUGGGUAAUUUGCGCGCCUGCUGCCUUCCUUGGAUGUGGUAGCCAUUUCUCAGGCUCCCUCUCCGGAGUCGAACCCUAAUUCCCCGUUACCCGUCAAAAGCAUGUGAGGACAAUACCCUCACAUCGAAACUUGAUAGGGCAGGUAUUAAA
Molecule: ribosomal RNA, 433 nt
Filed under: uncultured ascomycota sp. JKX-3
Lineage: Eukaryota; Fungi; Ascomycota
Description: partial small subunit ribosomal RNA
Source: RNAcentral